UACGGAAGGUCCGGGCGUUAUCCGGAUUUAUUGGGUUUAAAGGGAGCGCAGGCCGUCGGUUAAGCGUGUUGUGAAAUGCAGAUGCCCAACAUCUGACUUGCAGCGCGAACUGGCUGACUUGAGUACGCACGACGUUGGCGGAAUUUGCCGUGUAGCGGUGAAAUGCUUAGAUAUCACGAAGAACCCCGAUUGCGAAGGCAGCUUGCGGGAGCGCAUCUGACGCUGAAGCUCGAAAGUGCGGGAAUCAAACAGG
This 253-nucleotide ribosomal RNA is filed under the name uncultured microorganism. RNAcentral describes it as "partial small subunit ribosomal RNA". It matches the Rfam family "Bacterial small subunit ribosomal RNA", at positions 524 to 776 of the family's 1533-position model. The record is from RNAcentral.